This 110-nucleotide ribosomal RNA is filed under the name Anolis carolinensis (green anole). Lineage: Eukaryota; Metazoa; Chordata; Lepidosauria; Squamata; Anolidae. The record is from RNAcentral.
GCCUAUGUCCAUAGCCGCCUGAACAUGUCCGAUCUCGGAAGCUAAGUAGGGUCGGGCCUGGGUUAGUACUUGGAUGGGAGACCGCCUGGGGAUACCGUGUGCUGUAGGCU